This 388-nucleotide ribosomal RNA is filed under the name uncultured eukaryote. RNAcentral describes it as "partial 18S ribosomal RNA". It matches the Rfam family "Eukaryotic small subunit ribosomal RNA", at positions 592 to 976 of the family's 1831-position model. The record is from RNAcentral.
CAAUAGCGUAUAUUAAAAUUGUUGCAGUUAAAAAGCUCGUAGUUGGAUUUCUGAUCGAGACAUCAGGUCGGGUCCGAGAGGAUCAUGUACUUUGAUUUUGUUUUGAUCAUCCUUGGGGAGAGCAUUUCUGGCAUUCAGUUGUCGGGAUUGGGAUCCUCAUCGUUUACUGUGAAAAAAUUAGAGUGUUCAAAGCAGGCCUCGGCCUCUGAAUACAUUAGCAUGGAAUAAUAAGAUAGGACUUUGGUGGUCUAUUUUGUUGGUUUGCACGCCAAAGUAAUGAUUAAUAGGGAUAGUUGGGGGUAUUCGUAUUCAAUUGUCAGAGGUGAAAUUCUUGGAUUUAUGGAAGACGAACUACUGCGAAAGCAUUUACCAAGGAUGUUUUCAUUAA